RNAcentral lists this non-coding RNA (84 nucleotides) under Laribacter hongkongensis. The record is from RNAcentral. Lineage: Bacteria; Pseudomonadati; Pseudomonadota; Betaproteobacteria; Neisseriales; Aquaspirillaceae.
UCCAUGGUGGGCCGUAGCGGGGAGGGCUCACGCCCUGCCGGUUCCAAGUUCCGGUACGCCAACCCUGCUACGUGCCUGCCACCC